This 425-nucleotide ribosomal RNA is filed under the name uncultured bacterium. RNAcentral's name for it is "partial 16S ribosomal RNA". It matches the Rfam family "Bacterial small subunit ribosomal RNA", at positions 354 to 796 of the family's 1533-position model. The record is from RNAcentral.
GUGGGGAAUCUUAGACAAUGGGGGAAACCCUGAUCUAGCCAUGCCGCGUGAGCGAUGAAGGCCUUAGGGUUGUAAAGCUCUUUCAGCUGGGAAGAUAAUGACGGUACCAGCAGAAGAAGCCCCGGCUAACUCCGUGCCAGCAGCCGCGGUAAUACGGAGGGGGCUAGCGUUGUUCGGAAUUACUGGGCGUAAAGCGCACGUAGGCGGACCAGAAAGUCAGAGGUGAAAUCCCAGGGCUCAACCUUGGAACUGCCUUUGAAACUCCUGGUCUUGAGGUCGAGAGAGGUGAGUGGAAUUCCGAGUGUAGAGGUGAAAUUCGUAGAUAUUCGGAGGAACACCAGUGGCGAAGGCGGCUCACUGGCUCGAUACUGACGCUGAGGUGCGAAAGCGUGGGGAGCAAACAGGAUUAGAAACCCCUGUAGUCC